RNAcentral lists this ribosomal RNA (253 nucleotides) under uncultured bacterium. RNAcentral describes it as "partial 16S ribosomal RNA". It matches the Rfam family "Bacterial small subunit ribosomal RNA", at positions 524 to 776 of the family's 1533-position model. The record is from RNAcentral.
UACGUAGGUGGCAAGCGUUGUCCGGAUUUACUGGGUGUAAAGGGCGUGUAGCCGGGCUGACAAGUCAGAUGUGAAAUCCGGGGGCUCAACCCCUGAACUGCAUUUGAAACUGUUGGUCUUGAGUAUCGGAGAGGCAGGCGGAAUUCCUAGUGUAGCGGUGAAAUGCGUAGAUAUUAGGAGGAACACCAGUGGCGAAGGCGGCUCUCUGGUCUGUAACUGACGCUGAGGUUCGAAAGCGUGGGUAGCAAACAGG